Molecule: non-coding RNA, 107 nt
Organism: Glycine max (soybean)
Lineage: Eukaryota; Viridiplantae; Streptophyta; Magnoliopsida; Fabales; Fabaceae
Source: Rfam
UAAUGAAGGCAGCAUGGUUGUGUGCUCGGAAAUUGAAAUAUUAGGUCAAUAUGUCUGCUCUCUUUGAUGAACUUAAUGAUAAGAGGGCCUGGUUGCGACCUACAUUU